GAUGAACGCUGGUGGCGUGCCUAAUACAUGCAAGUCGAGCGAAUGGAUUAAGAGCUUGCUCUUAUGAAGUUAGCGGCGGACGGGUGAGUAACACGUGGGUAACCUGCCCAUAAGACUGGGAUAACUCCGGGAAACCGGGGCUAAUACCGGAUAACAUUUUGAACCGCAUGGUUCGAAAUUGAAAGGCGGCUUCGGCUGUCACUUAUGGAUGGACCCGCGUCGCAUUAGCUAGUUGUGAGGUAACGGCUCACCAAGGCAACGAUGCGUAGCCGACCUGAGAGGGUGAUCGGCCACACUGGGACUGAGACACGGCCCAGACUCCUACGGGAGGCAGCAGUAGGGAAUCUUCCGCAAUGGACGAAAGUCUGACGGAGCAACGCCGCGUGAGUGAUGAAGGCUUUCGGGUCGUAAAACUCUGUUGUUAGGGAAGAACAAGUGCUAGUUGAAUAAGCUGGCACCUUGACGGUACCUAACCAGAAAGCCACGGCUAACUACGUGCCAGCAGCCGCGGUAA
Molecule: ribosomal RNA, 514 nt
Filed under: uncultured bacterium
Lineage: Bacteria
Description: partial 16S ribosomal RNA
Rfam family: Bacterial small subunit ribosomal RNA
Source: RNAcentral